This 475-nucleotide ribosomal RNA is filed under the name uncultured bacterium. Its description in RNAcentral is "partial 16S ribosomal RNA". It matches the Rfam family "Bacterial small subunit ribosomal RNA", at positions 356 to 822 of the family's 1533-position model. The record is from RNAcentral.
AGGGAAUCUUCCACAAUGGACGCAAGUCUGAUGGAGCAACGCCGCGUGAGUGAAGAAGGUUUUCGGACCGUAAAGCUCUGUUGUUGGUGAAGAAGGAUAGAGGUAGUAACUGGCCUUUAUUUGACGGUAAUCAACCAGAAAGUCACGGCUAACUACGUGCCAGCAGCCGCGGUAAUACGUAGGUGGCAAGCGUUGUCCGGAUUUAUUGGGCGUAAAGCGAGCGCAGGCGGAAGAAUAAGUCUGAUGUGAAAGCCCUCGGCUUAACCGAGGAAUUGCAUCGGAAACUGUUUUUCUUGAGUGCAGAAGAGGAGAGUAGAACUCCAUGUGUAGCGGUGGAAUGCGUAGAUAUAUGGAAGAAUACCAGUGGCGAAGGCGGCUCUCUGGUCUGCAACUGACGCUGAGGCUCGAAAGCAUGGGUAGCGAACAGGAUUAGAUACCCUGGUAGUCCAUGCCGUAAAACGAUGAGUGCUAAGUG